GACGAACGCUGGCGGCGUGCUUAACACAUGCAAGUCGAACGGAAAGGCCCUGCUUUUGUGGGGUGCUCGAGUGGCGAACGGGUGAGUAACACGUGAGUAAACUGCCCUUGACUUUGGGAUAACUUCAGGAAACUGGGGCUAAUACCGGAUAGGAGCUCCUGCUGCAUGGUGGGGGUUGGAAAGAUUCGGCGGUUGGGGAUGGACUCGCGGCUUAUCAGCUUGUUGGUGGGGUAGUGGCUUACCAAGGCUUUGACGGGUAGCCGGCCUGAGAGGGGGGCCGGCCACAUUGGGACUGAGAUACGGCCCAGACGCCUACGGGCGGCAGCAGUGGGGAAUAUUGCACAAUGGGCGGAAGCGUGAUGCAGCAACCCCGCGUGCGUGAUGACGGCCUUCGGGUUGUAAACCGCUUUCGCCUGUGACGAAGCGUGAGUGACGGUAAUGGGUAAAGAAGCACCGGCUAACUACGUG
This 468-nucleotide ribosomal RNA is filed under the name uncultured bacterium. RNAcentral's name for it is "partial 16S ribosomal RNA". It matches the Rfam family "Bacterial small subunit ribosomal RNA", at positions 28 to 507 of the family's 1533-position model. The record is from RNAcentral.